GGAAGGAUCUCUUCUGGAGAUCCACUCCUCUGGAGUUUCCCAUAUGAGCCCAGGUUAUGGCUCCUCUGGCACUAUCUGAGCCUGACAGCGCAACGAGAGACAUUAGAUCUCAGCUGUGGGCCUUGCUUCCCCUGUUUGACUAUGCUCAGCCUUUGCACCAUUCAGACCCAACAGACAAGCCUGGAUGCAAAUAUUUGUAGUCUGGAGAAGCAGUUUGGCAACCUAAUUUAUAAGCGUUAAUGGAUAAUUGUUAGCAAUUAAAUGUUUGAUUACCCAACUGAGCCUAUGGAUCAUGUUGCUAGAUUUCCAUCUGCUAAUAGCUGUGUGCACAGGGGAUCGUGGGGCUGAAAACAGGAGCGAAGACAGGGGUGUAAAGAUGCAAAUCUAACUCAGCACACAUGAAGCUCGGUUUGUGAGAAAACAUGAAGCUUUGCCUCUCUGUUUCUUUUGUAACUCUGCAUUCAAAACUGUGGUGCAAAUGUCUGCAGAUUUAAAAAGUGUCCACUGUAUUAGAUGAAGAAUUAGAUCAGUGUCUAAUUUGAAAGCUCAGAAUUAAGGAAGUUUUAAAUGGAUUUGAAGCAGCCUUCUGUCUGUCUCCAGGCAUGGAUAUUAUGCUGGGAGUUUCUGGUCUGUCACCAAAGGUUUGGCCUUUGUCAAAGGGUGAGGCAAUUGUCACACAAACUUAUUGCACAGCAGUGGCUUCACAGUGUACAGUGAUUUGGAAAAUUUGGCUGGCUUUGUGUUUAUUUUCCCUCUGCCUCAGCUGAGUCGCCCUCACUGACUGCUGUUUAGCAACUGUGCAGAGUGGGAGACAUGAAUAUUGCACUGGCUACUGCUGACAUUUGUAUUGAAAAGCCCUGGAUGCAGUGAGAUCCCAUAGGAAACAGAUGGCUCCCUGUGUAAGCAGCAGCUCUCAGAACCCCAGAACUGAAAGGAAGGACUUGUUAGAUGAUGGGAAGCUUCUUGAAGUCUGAAGGAAAGCAAGAUUCCCACCCCUGGCAGUACAGGAGCAGCACCACUACUCCGCAUCAAUAAGUAAUCUUAACAUGGGAAGCAAAGGUUAAUGACUAAUCUGUUUACCUGAGCUUCAUUAAUCAAAGAUUUACUAGAAGUCAGAAGCCGAUCACCACUCAGGCACAGACAGCUCUGCUUCCAGGUUGAAGAAGACAACCACUCAGCCUGCACAAAGCAUGUAACUCAAUACUGAGCAAUUUUCCCAGUGUGCGGAUGACAAAGGGGAGCAUCAAAGAGAAAAGGCUCUAAUCAGAAGGGAUUAUAUCUGGGCUGCAUGGAGCAGAGGGAAAGCCUCUGUCUCUCAUGAUGUGAAGAAGAGUUCAGCUAUGCCUAACAGCAAUAUUAUCAACCAUCUGAGAUGAUUAUGGGGUACUUUUAUGUCAUGAAAUAUUGUCGUCUUCUCCAUUACAACUGACACCUCAAUAACAGCACCUGAAAAGAUUUAGAAGUUGCCAGAGGACUGCCAAAAAUACCCAGCAUAGGGGUGGGGAAACAUUGGCUGGUAGGCACAGAAUGCCUGGGGAGCUGCCCUGCUACCCUUCCUUCAGUACCGGUACGAGGCGUGCUGUAAAAUGCAUCUGCUUAAUGGAGCCAUUCAGAACUUUAUGUGUGUUGUGGCAAUUAAUCUCCACAUCAUGAUUCUAAUUAUGAUCCGGAGGUUAAAGGCACUAAAGAAAAAUUAAAUACCAGCUUGGGCACUCAGUGUUGAGUAUUGAAUGUGCAGCUUUAACCCAAUGAUUCAGUCUCAUCCAUGCUCCCAGAGUGACAGUCCAUUUCUUCUGAAGAAAGCGUUGGAGGCUGAAAACUUUUUGAUGACCCCACUUCUCUCCUUCAAAGACAACUGCCUUACAUGAACCUCCAGAGACUGAGCAAACCAGAUCAGAAAAAAUUAUUUUUCUUACGCAAGGCUGAUUCAUUGAAUUCAAGGGACAGUAAUGCCUAUGCGCGUGGGAUUGUCACAGACACUGGCUAGAAAAAUAUUGGAAAAUACUCUACUAAACCAGAGAGUGCAAUGCAUUUUGCUUUGUGGUAGUCUGGGAUUCUUUAUGGUGGUCUCUUGCUGUGUCUCACAAUUUCAGUGUAGUUUGCAACAAGCUAAAAGAACUGUGCUAAGCAGGGAGAGAGUACAUUGAGUGCUGAGCUCAGGUGUUGUCACCACUCCAGGCAUGGCACACAGAUAUUUCCCUGCAUUGGCAGAGAGGUGAUGCUGCCAGUGCUGCAUGGGACCUGUAGGCACGGCAGUCAUUUUGUGUCACUGGUUACAAAGCUCUGCAGCCAUGCAAAGCUCCAAAGGGGCUGUGGGCAGCGGAGCAGGAGUCAGGAGAAUCAGAGACCAGACCUACUCCAGGAUGUAGUUGCAGACCCAUCUUCUUACUGCAAUGUGUUAGGAUGCUCCCAGCCAAAGGAGUGCCAGUCUCAGCUGAAACCUGCACCGAUGGUCCAUUGCUAUGGUAAGAGGAAGAGCACAUAUGAAAACCUGGUAUUUUAAAAAUAUAUAAAACAUCUCUUAAAGUCCUGGACUUCCUCUCCACCACACACAGCCCACAGAUCUGUGAGUGGCUGUUGUUAUCAAGUGAGGCACCUCAUUUCCUUCAGUGUUUUUCAACCACCAAAACGGAUGCCUCCUUAUCACACAAAACCGAGUGAAAACAUUGGUUUGCAGACGAAGACAUCGACCAGGUGCUCUCGCUACUCUAUCUGUUCACCAGGCAUGGAUGUCAUUAUCAGCAUGUGGCAACCCUGACAUCAUUGUAUGGCAUCCCUCAAGUCCAACAAGAGCGAUGCGGCCUGACAAGGAAGAUUCUGUAUUUAAUAAAACCCAUUUUUGCUGAAGGCGAUGCUUCUCUUCCCCUGGAGAGAAUGAUCAGUUUCAUAUGAAGCUGUUUUUUGCAUGCACAGAACUGUACACACUGGGAACUACUUGGAAAGCGGGAAAAGAUGUCUGAGCAACAACAGAUACACCUUUGAGCCAGGAAUGGUUUUUAAAGACAAUUUCCCAUUUAAUAUUGUAACACCAUUCAUUUUUUUAAUGCUCUUUUUCCUUUUCCAUAUAGGUUUACAGCUCAAAGAAAGCAUGCAUCUACCCUUGUUGUGAACAGAGCAAUAGGAAGAGAUAAAUAUAAUCAGAUGAACAUUUGGAAUUUAUUUUGGAGUGCCUGAAUCUGAAUGAGAAGGAGACUCAGUUGGGAGGUUUUACCUGAGGAUGGUUGGGUCUCCUGUGCAAGAGCCAGGGCUCUCCUUUAUAUAGAGUGGGAACUGCAUAGGGGAAGGACUUAAAGCAAUAGUUGGAGAUGGGUGGCUGAGAUUUUGUUCUGUCCAUCAUUUAACACCAGUAGGACUAAAUUGCAUGGUUAAUAGUAUGCUACAGAAUAGAAUUCUUCAUUUUUUUUUUCUUUGUGAUUUUAAUUCAAAAUAAUGUGUGUGUAUGUAUGUGUG
Molecule: non-coding RNA, 3450 nt
Organism: Meleagris gallopavo (turkey)
Lineage: Eukaryota; Metazoa; Chordata; Aves; Galliformes; Phasianidae
Source: RefSeq, a predicted model, not a curated record